Molecule: long non-coding RNA, 1245 nt
Filed under: Homo sapiens (human)
Lineage: Eukaryota; Metazoa; Chordata; Mammalia; Primates; Hominidae
Description: HSALNT0270602
Source: RNAcentral
CAUUCCAGGUUGACUCCACCAGCGAGAAUCACAGAUGAGGAAGCUGAGGUUAAAGUCACUUGCCCCAGGUCACUCCGCAAGUUGAAGCGCAACCAGGAUACUCUGGAACAGGAUGCCUGACUUCAGAGGAGAGGCGCGUAACCACCAGGCAACUGGCCCCACGAAAACAAGUCCCGCAACUUCCCUUCUUUGGCUCCUACUUGCUCCCGGAAGAAAAGCCUUAAACGGUAUUCAAGCCCUUUAGGAUCUGAUGUCCUAGGACUCCACUCUGGGCUUCCAGCCUGGGGUGGUACUGGUCCCUAGGCAUGGAAGCUCCUCCCACUGCCCCUUCCUUCACCCGGCCACCUCCUCCCACAGGUGUCUUCCUGGUACUCUUGCACAGGCCCGAGUCCCUUACCACCACGGCCUUAGCCUGCUCUCGUGCUCUCAGUAAUGUUUUCUCCAUUUGCUGCCUUUCAUUCUUUCCAGAGAUUCUUGCUCAACCCAACCAGGCCAGCCCGGGGACUAGGGACAUGUAGGGACAAUAGUCCCUGCUUCAGGCAGUUCAGGGCAGACCACAGAGAUGUGACAUUACAGACCAUUGUGAGCAGAGGCCUUGUCCCAUUCUGUGUUGCAUCCCUAAGCCAGGAACAAAGUCCAGCCCAGGCCUGGCUCCAGGGGACACGCAGUAGUAUCCUCUGGCCUGUGCAAGUGUAUCUGUAGCCUCACAUGCCACCAUGUGAGUCUGCAAUCUGUCUGUGAAUGCCCUGGUGUAGAAGCCAGGAGUUUGGAGGUGGGAGGGAGCCCUACAGAAUGAUAGCCAGUGCUAACUCCUGGGAAUGUCCAGCCACUAAGACCUGCCCACAGCCCUGCCAUGCCAAUGUCCUCCUUUUCACGGGAGCAGCUUGCACAGACUUUCAGCGCACAGCUGGCAUUGUCUUCCCAGGAGCCAUCCUGUAACCCAGGCCAGGUGAAGGGCUCCUCCCUGGGACCCCACAGCCCCGUUCCCAUCAUCCUUUUGUGGUGAUCAAGGCACCCAUCACACAGUAUUGCCAUAAACCGGGUCAGGUUAACCUUUCAUUCCCUUAGGAGCUGGGUGGGGGCAGCCAAAAGUAUUUGUAGGAGGAAGAGAGAAAGGAGGGGACAGAGCUAGGAAGAAUGGGAGGACGGUCAGAACGCCCCUGUGAAGGAAGGAGAGCACCAAGUCCCCGUGUUCUGCCUACCCUCCCCCAGACAGCAGAUCAGGAGCACCCCGCGCGCCCCCCC